CCUACGGGAGGCAGCAGUGAGGAAUAUUGGUCAAUGGACGAGAGUCUGAACCAGCCAAGUAGCGUGAAGGAUGACUGCCCUAUGGGUUGUAAACUUCUUUUAUAUGGGAAUAAAACAGGGUAUGCAUACCCUCUCGUAUGUACCAUAUGAAUAAGGAUCGGCUAACUCCGUGCCAGCAGCCGCGGUAAUACGGAGGAUCCGAGCGUUAUCCGGAUUUAUUGGGGUUAAAGGGAGCGUAGGUGGAUUGUUAAGUCAGUUGUGAAAGUUUGCGGCUCAACCGUAAAAUUGCAGUUGAAACUGGCAGUCUUGAGUACAGUAGAGGUGGGCGGAAUUCGUGGUGUAGCGGUGAAAUGCUUAGAUAUCACGAAGAACUCCGAUUGCGAAGGCAGCUCACUGGACUGCAACUGACACUGAUGCUCGAAAGUGUGGGUAUCGAACAGGAUUAGAUACCCCUGUAGUC
RNAcentral lists this ribosomal RNA (460 nucleotides) under uncultured bacterium. RNAcentral's name for it is "partial 16S ribosomal RNA". It matches the Rfam family "Bacterial small subunit ribosomal RNA", at positions 338 to 795 of the family's 1533-position model. The record is from RNAcentral.